UUUUUUUAUUAUGAGUACAUGUAUGAAUAGAAUAAUUAGGUUGCAUUAGUAAUAAUUAUAAUCGUUUAAUAUCUAUUUAAUCGGAUAUGAAUAUAAGUCAAUGAUUGUUUAUGUUUAUUUUAUUUAUUUUUUGUUUGUUUGUUUUUUGUACUUUUUGUUUUGUUUUUUUGUUUUUUUGUUUUUUGUUUUUUGUUUUUAUUUUUGUAUGGGGAGGGGGAUGUUCAUAUAAGCACUGACACUGACAGGUCAAAAUGAAUAAACAUGUUUUGUAUUUUUCUUUGAUAAAAUGCAUAUAAAUAUUGUAUGAGGUGAAGAAAUACAAAAUAAAGAAUUAUAAAAAAAUAAAA
Molecule: long non-coding RNA, 347 nt
Filed under: Mytilus galloprovincialis (Mediterranean mussel)
Lineage: Eukaryota; Metazoa; Mollusca; Bivalvia; Mytilida; Mytilidae
Source: RNAcentral